This is a long non-coding RNA of Ictalurus punctatus (channel catfish), 507 nucleotides long. The record is from Ensembl. Lineage: Eukaryota; Metazoa; Chordata; Actinopteri; Siluriformes; Ictaluridae.
GUCAGUUCUCGCUUACGGCCAUACCACUCUCACAAAGCCUGAUCUCGUCUGACCUCGGAAGCAAAGCAGAGUUGGGCCUGGUUAGUACUUGGUUGGGAGACUGAUUGGGAAUACUAGGUGCUGUAAGCUUUUUAUUUGGAUCAGUGUUUUCAUGACCUCUGCACAACCUCCUCUUUUGGGAUUAAGAUUGGAUACAGGUUUGAAGGGGACCCAAUCAAUCAAUCAAUCAGUCAGUCAGUCAGUCUUUUGAUUACACUAUUUAAAUAGGCCCCAUUUGGGGUCAGCUUUCGCUUACGGCCAUACCACUCUGACAAAGCCUGAUCUCGUCUGACCUUGGAAGCAAAGCAGAGUUGGGCCUGGUUAGUACUUGGUUGGGAGACUGACUGGGAAUACUAGGUGCUGUAAGCUUUUUAUUUGGAUCAGUGUUUUCAUGACCUCUGCACAACAUCCUCUUUUGGGAUUAAGAUUGGAUACAGGUUUGAAGGGGACCCAAUCAAUCAAUCAGUC